AAUGUUAUGUCUGAUAAUAAGAAAUAAAUUGUAAAUUUAUUUAUGAAAAUAAAAUUUCUAACAUUA
RNAcentral lists this transfer RNA (66 nucleotides) under Acropyga myops. RNAcentral's name for it is "tRNA-Tyr". The record is from RNAcentral. Lineage: Eukaryota; Metazoa; Arthropoda; Insecta; Hymenoptera; Formicidae.